GCCGGCUUAGCUCAGCUGGUAGAGCACCUGAUUUGUAAUCAGGGGGUCAUCGGUUCGAAUCCGGUAGCCGGCACCA
This 76-nucleotide transfer RNA is filed under the name Rhizomicrobium palustre. RNAcentral describes it as "tRNA-Thr". It matches the Rfam family "tRNA". From Rfam's summary of the family: Transfer RNA (tRNA) molecules are approximately 80 nucleotides in length. Their secondary structure includes four short double-helical elements and three loops (D, anti-codon, and T loops). Lineage: Bacteria; Pseudomonadati; Pseudomonadota; Alphaproteobacteria; Micropepsales; Micropepsaceae. The record is from RNAcentral.